Long non-coding RNA from Ailuropoda melanoleuca (giant panda), 799 nucleotides. RefSeq lists it as uncharacterized. The transcript is spliced from 2 exons. The record is from RefSeq and is a predicted model, not a curated record. NCBI's taxonomy places the organism in Eukaryota, Metazoa, Chordata, Mammalia, Carnivora, Ursidae.
UUCUUGGAAGCCUUGGGCACAGAACAAGGAUAAAUGUGAUUAGCAGCAGUAUAUGCAGUUCCACCAACACCCAGUAGAUGGCGUAAAUAUAAACUGCUUCCAGGGAAAGUCCUCUGUGAGGCUUAGAAUCCUAGGAGAGCCAUUUAUCAUUAAAAGUAGAGUUUUGAUGGAAGGCUGAAGUUGUAUGAAGCUUGAGGCAGUCAGGAAAGUCGAUGUAUUUUAAUCUCUCCCAAACAACAUAGGAAAACACCUUCUGCCAGCACAACUCCAUUUAACUUUUGUUCAACUUCCUCAACAACAAUAACAACAACAACAAAAAGUGGUUGUCCCAACAGAAGAGCAGAAGGACAAAGGGGAAAAUAUCCAAAGAUCCAAAGUUGAGGAAAGUUUGCAUUUUAUGGAACAUUUUCACCAGAAAAGGAACUUCAGGCCCUACUGAACUGGCAACCCCAACGUUGAGGGAGAGUCCCGCCCUUAGAUUGCCCAAUGCGCUGGGUUGUGGUAAGACCAAGGCUUGUCCAAUUCCUGUCAACUCCAAGACGUGGAAGAAAUUCCUUGUGAGACUAGAAAGUCUAUGGAGAAGAGCUUGAACAUCCACGGCCCUGGUGUCUUCUUUGAGGUGAGUCGAAGUUCUCAUUCUACCUCGCACUGCACCCGUAGCAACAGGGACACGUGCAGGUGAGGGCGCGCACACCUGGCGUUCACACAUGCUCUGCGCGGAGGGCUUCCUCGUCCCCUCCUGCCCUCAACCCUGGAGUCCGGGAUUUCCCCGAGGAACAAAACAGGACCAGUCUGAGUG